AGAGUUUGAUCCUGGCUCAGAAUCAACGCUGGCGGCGUGCCUAACACAUGCAAGUCGAACGCGAAAGUGGAGCAAUCCAUGAGUAGAGUGGCAAACGGGUGAGUAACGCGUGGGUGACCUGCCUUCGAGUGGGGGAUAGCGCUCCGAAAGGGACGCUAAUACCGCAUAACAUCCUGCCUUUUAAGAGGUGGAGAUCAAAGCCUGGGACCGCAAGGCCAGGCGCUGGAAGAGGGGCCCGCGUCUGAUUAGCUAGUUGGUGGGGUAAUGGCUCACCAAGGCUUCGAUCAGUAUCCGGCCUGAGAGGGCGGACGGACACACUGGGACUGAGACACGGCCCAGACUCCUACGGGAGGCAGCAGUGGGGAAUUGUUCGCAAUGGGCGCAAGCCUGACGACGCAACGCCGCGUGGAGGAUGAAGACCUUCGGGUCGUAAACUCCUUUCGAUCGAGACGAAUGGCUUCUGGGUGAACAAUCCAGGAGAG
RNAcentral lists this ribosomal RNA (482 nucleotides) under uncultured soil bacterium. RNAcentral's name for it is "bacterial SSU rRNA". It matches the Rfam family "Bacterial small subunit ribosomal RNA", at positions 8 to 471 of the family's 1533-position model. The record is from RNAcentral.